AUUGAACGCUGGCGGCAUGCCUUACACAUGCAAGUCGAACGGCAGCACGGGGCAACCUGGUGGCGAGUGGCGAACGGGUGAGUAAUGUAUCGGAACGUACCUUUCAGUGGGGGAUAACGUAGCGAAAGUUACGCUAAUACCGCAUAUUCUGUGAGCAGGAAAGCAGGGGAUCGCAAGACCUUGCGCUGAUUGAGCGGCCGAUAUCAGAUUAGCUAGUUGGUGAGGUAAAGGCUCACCAAGGCGACGAUCUGUAGCGGGUCUGAGAGGAUGAUCCGCCACACUGGAACUGAGACACGGUCCAGACUCCUAUGGGAGGCAGCAGUGGGGAAUUUUGGACAAUGGGGGCAACCCUGAUCCAGCCAUGCCGCGUGAGUGAAGAAGGCCU
RNAcentral lists this ribosomal RNA (385 nucleotides) under uncultured bacterium. RNAcentral describes it as "bacterial SSU rRNA". It matches the Rfam family "Bacterial small subunit ribosomal RNA", at positions 30 to 417 of the family's 1533-position model. The record is from RNAcentral.